RNAcentral lists this transfer RNA (80 nucleotides) under marine eukaryotic metagenome. It matches the Rfam family "tRNA". From Rfam's summary of the family: Transfer RNA (tRNA) molecules are approximately 80 nucleotides in length. The record is from RNAcentral.
CGGAUGUGGCGAAAUUGGUAGACGCGCUAGACUUAGGAUCUGGUGCCGAAAGGCGUGGGGGUUCGAGUCCCUUCAUCCGC